AUGUGGGACUUAAUAUGGAAAUCAAAUGUGGCCGGAAAAGUUGAGAUAUUCGGAUGGAGAGUGGCGACUAAAACUCUAGCCACUAAGGAAAAUAAGUUUAAACGAACACUGGAAACGGAUGCAACCUGUUGUAUCUGUGGCCAAGGUGAUGAAAACGAGUACCAUGCAGUCGUCACGUGCACGAAAAGCAGAGGGCUGAGAUCGGCAAUGCGCGAGGUUUGGUAUCUGCCGCCGGAGAGGAAAUUUCGGUACACGGGAGAUAACUGGCUGCAGGUGCUACUGGAUUCAGAGAAUGAGGACACCCGGGCAAAAAUCCUGCUGCUUUUCUGGCGUUGUUGGCACCUCCGCGAAGACUGUAUACGCAAUGAUGGAAGACAGACAAUUAGGUCUUCUGUGCAGUUUCUUGAGCAGUAUGAGCCGAGUCUCGCCUCCCCGUCAGACAUGCUUUGGACCCCCCCUCUCCGAGGUACAGUCAAACUAAAUACAGACGCGUCCUUUGUGGCUGAGACAGGAGGGGGCGCCGCAGGAGCAGUCGCAAGAGACCACUAG
RNAcentral lists this ribosomal RNA (549 nucleotides) under Triticum aestivum (bread wheat). RNAcentral describes it as "partial small subunit ribosomal RNA". Lineage: Eukaryota; Viridiplantae; Streptophyta; Magnoliopsida; Poales; Poaceae. The record is from RNAcentral.